GACGAACGCUGGCGGCGUGCUUAACACAUGCAAGUCGAGCGGAAAGGCCCUUCGGGGUACGUCGAGCGGCGAACGGGUGAGUAACACGUGAGUAACCUGCCCUUGGCUCUGGGAUAAGCCCGGGAAACUGGGUCUAAUACCGGAUAUGACCAUCAGAUGCAUGUCUUGGUGGUGGAAAGAUUUUUCGGCUGGGGAUGGGCUCGCGGUCUAUCAGCUUGUUGGUGGGGUGAUGGCCUACCAAGGCGACGACGGGUAGCCGCCUGAGAGGGUGACCGGCCACACUGGGACUGAGACACGGCCCAGACUCCUACGGGA
RNAcentral lists this ribosomal RNA (315 nucleotides) under uncultured bacterium. RNAcentral's name for it is "bacterial SSU rRNA". It matches the Rfam family "Bacterial small subunit ribosomal RNA", at positions 28 to 346 of the family's 1533-position model. The record is from RNAcentral.